AAACAUCGCCUCUUGCAAACUUAAUAAAUAAGAGGUCCCGCCUGCCCUGUGACUAUUAGUUUAACGGCCGCGGUAUUUUGACCGUGCGAAGGUAGCGCAAUCACUUGUCUUUUAAAUGAAGACCUGUAUGAAUGGCAUAACGAGGGCUUAACUGUCUCCUCUUUCCAGUCAAUGAAAUUGAUCUUCCCGUGCAGAAGCGGGAAUAUAAACAUAAGACGAGAAGACCCUAUGGAGCUUUAGACACCAAGGCAGAUCAUGUUAAUAACCCUGGAUAAAGGACUAAACCAGAUGGAACCUGCCCUAAUGUCUUUGGUUGGGGCGACCGCGGGGAAUUGAAAAACCCCCACGUGGAAUGGGAGCACCCCUCCUACAGCUAAGAGCCACAGCUCUAGUAAACAGAAAUUCUGACCAGUAAGAUCCGGCAAUGCCGAUCAACGGACCGAGUUACCCUAGGGAUAACAGCGCAAUCCUCUUUUAGAGCCCAUAUCGACAAGGGGGUUUACGACCUCGAUGUUGGAUCAGGACAUCCUAAUGGUGCAGCCGCUAUUAAGGGUUCGUUUGUUCAACGAUUAAAGUCCUACGUGAUCUG
Molecule: ribosomal RNA, 589 nt
Filed under: Stichaeopsis nana
Lineage: Eukaryota; Metazoa; Chordata; Actinopteri; Perciformes; Stichaeidae
Description: partial 16S ribosomal RNA
Rfam family: Bacterial large subunit ribosomal RNA
Source: RNAcentral